AACUCCCUGUCGAUUCCAGAAGAGCGGGAAUUUGAGUACUGAGUCGCAGGGCGGGCGGCGGCUGGGGCGGACGGAUAUCAUACAGCGGAUCAGCAUCUUGGACAGUAACACCUGCUCUGAAGGCAGAACCUUACUGCGAAGAGAUUCUCAAGUGAUCCAGGUUAUAGUCCCCUGUCAGUAUGUUCGCUUGUCUUCGCAAGACGUCUCCAAACGGAUGCAGGCCUCUGGACAACACGAAGUAGAACACACAUCCCAGAGAAAACAUGUCCACUGAGGUCGUCUGUUAUAAAUAAAUAUAUAUAUAUAUAUGAUGAUUAAUAAAUUCCAUCAUUACUCAUUAUUUGAAUAUCGAAAAGUAAUUCAUUGAUAUUAAUGGUAAGAAUUUAAAAAUUAUCAGGUUUUAUCAAGUAAAAAAUAAAAUUAUUGCAUGCUAAAAAUGGAUCCGCUCGUGACGACGUAUUUUUCGUUCUAGAUUUUUCUAUUUGAUUCUUAAUUCAAAUAACAAUCUAUAUAAUCAAGGUCUCAGAUUUAAAAAAAAAAUAAUAUGUAUGAAAAAUGAAAUCAAUUGAAUCGACCUCGAGACGCCACAACAGAUAAAAAAUGGAAAUUUAUAGUGAUGUUUAUUAUAAAAAUAAUUUAAUUGUUAAAAGAUUCGAAUAAACUGUUUUAAUAAUGUU
Molecule: long non-coding RNA, 677 nt
Organism: Danaus plexippus (monarch butterfly)
Lineage: Eukaryota; Metazoa; Arthropoda; Insecta; Lepidoptera; Nymphalidae
Exons: 2
Source: RefSeq, a predicted model, not a curated record